CCCAAAGUCGAGAAAAAAAAAACUAGUUAAAAAAUGGCUUCAUACAAAUGUUUCGUUUAUGUGUUGUUGUGCCUAACUGUUACCUUGAUCUCUUGUGCUGCCGAUACUUGCGAUUCACCCAGACAUGGUCUUUUUGUGAUAGGUCCUUGCUCACAAAUUCCAAACUGCAAUAAUAAAUGCGUAGAAUUACACUAUUCUGGCGGAGAAUGUUUUAAAAAGUCCAGCAGCGCCACCGAACUAUCAUGUGGCUGUUGUGUAUAAUUCAUAAUGUUAUGGAGAUAUUAAUUAUAUUGUGGAA
Long non-coding RNA from Brassica napus (rape), 298 nucleotides. RefSeq lists it as uncharacterized. The transcript has 2 exons. NCBI's taxonomy places the organism in Eukaryota, Viridiplantae, Streptophyta, Magnoliopsida, Brassicales, Brassicaceae. The record is from RefSeq and is a predicted model, not a curated record.